RNAcentral lists this long non-coding RNA (329 nucleotides) under Androctonus crassicauda. The record is from RNAcentral. Lineage: Eukaryota; Metazoa; Arthropoda; Arachnida; Scorpiones; Buthidae.
CAUAUGGCUCAAUGCUAAAUUUUGUCCAGCAUGAUAUCAUCUACUAUAAUGCUUCUAACUCCAGUUAAACAGGAUUAUCAAAACCAAAAAAAGACAUGUAUUAGUAAUACAGUAAUGUAUCAUUGUUUACAAUUGACUGAUUUCGUGGGAAACACCCACUGUCCUGACAUCACAAUAUGGUGUCAGAAAGAUGGAAAACAGAUCACACAUGGUCGCGUGCAUGAGUGUGUGUUAUCCAAGGUGCUAUCAUGACAUUGCUACAAACUAUAAAUAAUUUUACAAUCAAAGUAGGCUUCGAAGUACUUUAAAUGAUACUCAAACAAUACAAG